CCUACGGGUGGCAGCAGUGGGGAAUAUUGCACAAUGGGGGAAACCCUGAUGCAGCGACGCCGCGUGAAGGAAGAAGGAUUUCGGUAUGUAAACUUCUAUUAGUAGGGAAGAAAAUGACGGUACCUGACUAAGAAGCCCCGGCUAACUACGUGCCAGCAGCCGCGGUAAUACGGAGGGGGCAAGCGUUAUCCGGAGUUACUGGGUGUAAAGGGGGCGUAGGCGGUUUAGCAAGUCAGAAGUGAAAGCCCGGGGCUCAACCCCAGGACUGCUUUUGAAACUGUUAAACUAGAUUACAGGAGAGGUAGGUGGAAUUCCUGGUGUAGCGGUGAAAUGCGUAGAUAUUAAGAGGAACACCAAUGGCGAAGGCGGCUUACUAGACUGUAAAUGACGCUGAGGCUCGAAAGCGUGGGGAGCAAACAGGAUUAGAUACCCUUGUAGUC
Molecule: ribosomal RNA, 440 nt
Filed under: uncultured bacterium
Lineage: Bacteria
Description: partial 16S ribosomal RNA
Rfam family: Bacterial small subunit ribosomal RNA
Source: RNAcentral